AUUUCUUUGAAUCCUCUUCGCAGCUUUUCUAUCUAUACACAUCAAAUAAAAAAACAAGAAUGAGACCUAGGCAGUCCUCAAGUAUCUAAAGAAAAUAUCACGCUGAUAUGGAUCUAUACACAUCAAAUAAAAAAAAAACAAGAAUGAGACCUUGCAGUCCUUAAGCAUCUAAAGAAAAUAUCAUGCUGAUAUGGAGCAAUUACUCACUACAGUAUAUAUACCAUAUAUGCCCAUAUCUUGAACAGUAAUAAGACCUUUACAGCUGCACUAACUACAAAUGCAGAGAAUGACCCUUAAUU
RNAcentral lists this long non-coding RNA (299 nucleotides) under Nicotiana benthamiana. RNAcentral describes it as "long non-coding RNA (NBEN_LNC039692)". The record is from RNAcentral. Lineage: Eukaryota; Viridiplantae; Streptophyta; Magnoliopsida; Solanales; Solanaceae.